This 197-nucleotide ribosomal RNA is filed under the name Stylocellus sp. Sumatra 17. RNAcentral describes it as "partial 18S ribosomal RNA". It matches the Rfam family "Eukaryotic small subunit ribosomal RNA", at positions 194 to 385 of the family's 1831-position model. The record is from RNAcentral. Lineage: Eukaryota; Metazoa; Arthropoda; Arachnida; Opiliones; Stylocellidae.
GGGACGAGCGCUUUUAUUAGACCAAGACCAAUCGGACUUCGGUCCGUAUGCCACGGCGACUCUGGAUAACUUUGGGCUGAUCGCACGAUCUAGCAUCGGCGAUAUUUCUUUCAAGUGUCUGACUUAUCAACUUUCGAUGGUAGUCUAUGCGCCUACCAUGGUCGUAACGGGUAACGGGGAAUCAGGGUUCGAUUCCG